Stegodyphus dumicola is the source of this 258-nucleotide long non-coding RNA. The record is from RefSeq and is a predicted model, not a curated record. NCBI's taxonomy places the organism in Eukaryota, Metazoa, Arthropoda, Arachnida, Araneae, Eresidae.
GUACGAUGGCAAAGUAUGUUCGUGUUUCUCCUUUUUAUCCUAAUAUAGUGGUGGAAAAAGGUCCAGCGUCAGCCUUGAAAGUAAUACUUACGACUUACAUUACGGCAAAUUCAGAGGAAAAAUAAUAGAAUAUGCCUGUUGUAUGUCAGUCCAUGAGGAUUAGCAGAGCAGCAUCAAGAAAACUUUAUUAGAACUCAUUCUAACAACUUACUAAAAACAACUUCUGAUGUAUUGACAAUAAAAAGAGAAAUUCUUUAA